This 375-nucleotide ribosomal RNA is filed under the name uncultured bacterium. Its description in RNAcentral is "bacterial SSU rRNA". It matches the Rfam family "Bacterial small subunit ribosomal RNA", at positions 28 to 404 of the family's 1533-position model. The record is from RNAcentral.
GACGAACGCUGGCGGCGUGCUUAACACAUGCAAGUCGAGCGGUAAGGCCCUUUCGGGGGUACACGAGCGGCGAACGGGUGAGUAACACGUGGGUGACCUGCCCUCAGCUCUGGGAUAAGCCUGGGAAACCGGGUCUAAUACCGGAUAUGACUCCAUGACGCAUGUUGUGGGGUGGAAAGCCUUGUGCGGCUGAGGAUGGGCCCGCGGCCUAUCAGCUUGUUGGUGGGGUGANGGCCUACCAAGGCGACGACGGGUAGCCGGCCUGAGAGGGCGACCGGCCACACUGGGACUGAGACACGGCCCAGACUCCUACGGGAGGCAGCAGUGGGGAAUCUUGCGCGAUGGGCGAAAGCCUGACGCAGCGACGCCGCGUGA